UAGUAACUUAAUCCCUGAGAUAAAGCUC
This 28-nucleotide non-coding RNA is filed under the name Mus musculus (house mouse). The record is from RNAcentral. Lineage: Eukaryota; Metazoa; Chordata; Mammalia; Rodentia; Muridae.